This 253-nucleotide unclassified non-coding RNA is filed under the name uncultured Bacillaceae bacterium. Its description in RNAcentral is "contains 16S-23S intergenic spacer region". It matches the Rfam family "Bacterial small subunit ribosomal RNA", at positions 524 to 776 of the family's 1533-position model. The record is from RNAcentral. Lineage: Bacteria; Bacillati; Bacillota; Bacilli; Caryophanales; Bacillaceae.
UACAGAGGGCGCAAACGUUGCUCGGAAUUAUUGGGCGUAAAGCGCGCGCAGGCGGUUCCUUAAGUCUGAUGUGAAAGCCCACGGCUUAACCGUGGAGGGUCAUUGGAAACUGGGGAACUUGAGUACAGAAGAGGAGAGUGGAAUUCCACGUGUAGCGGUGAAAUGCGUAGAUAUGUGGAGGAACACCAGUGGCGAAGGCGACUCUCUGGUCUGUAACUGACGCUGAGGCACGAAAGCGUGGGGAGCGAACAGG